AGCCCGGCUCUGAGCCGCCCGCCCGGCCCGGCCGCCCCCGCCGCGCCCCGCCGCCCUCAAUGAGGUUCUUCCGACUCACCUUCAAGUGCUUCGUGGAUUGCUUCUGAGCCCCCCCUCACCACCACCACGGCCACGGAGCCGCCCCCGACCCGCCCCUGCUCCCCGGCCCCCCGCGACAUGCCCCCAGUCCCCGCCGACACGGCCGCCCCGCAGCCGUCCGCCGCCCCUCGACACGAUGCCGCCGCCACCACCGCUGCCGCCGCUGCUGCCCCCGCGGGCUCCGCAGAGGGUCGUGGGGAAGCGGAGGGCACGGAGCCCCCUACAGCGGGCGAGGAGCGAGCAGUGACGGCACCGCUGGUGGGACCCCCCGGCCCUCCGAAAGCGGCUGCUGUCCCCCAUCAGCGGGAGACGUGGACCCGGCAGAUGGAUUUUAUCAUGUCCUGCGUGGGGUUUGCUGUGGGGCUGGGCAACGUCUGGCGCUUCCCCUACCUGUGCUACAAGAAUGGUGGAGGCGUCUUCCUCAUCCCCUAUCUGAUCAUCGUCUUCGUGGGCGGCAUCCCCGUAUUCUUCUUGGAGGUGGCCCUGGGUCAGUUCAUGAAGCAGGGGGGCAUCGCCGCCUGGAACAUCGCCCCCCUCUUCAAGGGUCUGGGCCUGGCCUCCAUGGUGAUUGUCUUCUUCUGCAACUCCUACUACAUCAUGAUCCUGGUGUGGGGGCUCUUCUACCUGGUGUACUCACUGACGGACACCUUGCCCUGGGCCACCUGUGGCCAUUCCUGGAACACGGAGCACUGCACCGAGCUCUUCCACCUCGAGCUCUGCAGCAACGGCAGCACCAACACCAGCGUCGACUCCUUCAACGUCAGCUGCACCGACAUGGCCAACAAGCGCUCACCCGUCAUCGAGUUUUGGGAGAACAAGGUGCUGCGGCUCUCAGGGGACCUCAGCGAGCCUGGGGAGAUGAACUGGCAGAUGAUCCUCUGCUUGGUUACCACCUGGGUCAUCGUCUACUUCUGCAUCUGGAAGGGUGUCAAGUCAACUGGGAAGAUUGUCUACUUCACGGCACUCUUCCCCUAUGUGGUCCUCAUCCUGAUGCUGGUGCAUGGAGUGACGCUGCCUGGGGCUCUUGGUGGCAUUAUCUUCUACCUGAAACCCGACUGGUCCAAGCUGGCUGAGGCGCAGGUCUGGAUUGAUGCUGGUACCCAGAUCUUCUUCUCCUAUGCCAUUGGGCUGGGUGCACUGACUGCGCUGGGCAGCUACAACCGCUUCCACAACAACUGUUACAGGGACGCCUACAUCCUAGCUGUGAUCAACAGCUCCACCAGCUUCUUUUCUGGCUUUGUUGUCUUCUCUGUGCUGGGCUUCAUGGCCUCUGAACAAGGUGUGGACAUCUCCAAGGUGGCCGAGUCCGGCCCUGGGCUGGCUUUCAUCGCCUACCCCAAAGCCGUGACACUGAUGCCCUUGUCUCCGCUCUGGGCCACACUCUUCUUCUUCAUGCUCCUUGUGUUGGGGCUGGACAGCCAGUUUGUCGGCGUGGAGGGUUUCAUCACGGGCAUCCUGGACCUGUUCCCCCAUCCGGGAGCCGGCUCGCUGCGCCGCGAGCUCACCGCCGCAGUCUGCUGCGUCGUCUUCUGCCUCAUCGACCUCUCCAUGGUUACACAGAGCGGCAUGUACGUGUUCCAGCUCUUUGACAACUACUCGGCCAGUGGGAUCACACUGCUGUGGCAGGCGUUCUGGGAGUGCGUGGUCAUCGCCUGGGUCUACGGCGCUGACCGCUUCAUGGACGACGUAGCUCGCAUGAUCGGCUACCGGCCCCUGCCCUUCAUGAAGUGGUGCUGGGCCGUGGUGACACCGCUGGUCUGCGUGGGUGAUACGUGUGUCAGGGCCAUGGGCAGCCACAUAUGGGGGCCACCAGACCACUGCCCUGUGGGACCUCAUCCCCCUCCUCCGCCCAGGGCAUCUUCUUGUUCCACGUGGUGAACUACAAGCCGCUGACCUACAACAAGACAUACGUGUACCCGUGGUGGGGGGAAGCCAUCGGCUGGGUCCUGGCGCUCUCCUCCAUGCUCUGCAUCCCCUGCACCGUCCUCUACAAGUUCCUGCGCUGCAAAGGCUCCUUCCGUGAGCGCUGGCAGCUCCUGACCACUCCAAUCUGGGGCCACCAUCACCUGGAGUACCUGACGCCCGAGGCAGAAGCCAAGCUGCUGGCCCCGGAGCCCCCCAAGGAGAAGGCAACGCUCUUUGAGACUGUGAUCUGAGCGUGGGGAGGGUCGCGCUGCUCCCGCCCGCCAUAGCAAUAAUGCCAGCACCGCCUCCCACCCAUGCUGCCCCGCGCCCCCCCACCCCCCCCAGCCUCACUGCAGCGGGGGGGUGGAGGACUGCAAGGUGGGGAGUCACUGGGGGCCAUGGGUAGCAAGAGGGGUCUCUGGCUUGGGGGAGCCUGGGGGGGCAGCGGGGAGGCUGUGGGCCGGGGGAACCAUCAAGACAGCCCAUCCCUGUCCCCCGCCUGCGGCCCCCACAGCCCCUGCUCACUAACCGCUUCCUGUAGCGUUCGUCUGGUGUAACCCCAACCGCCCCGACAUCUGGCAAUAAACUGGGAGACCCUGGCA
RNA transcript from Calypte anna (Anna's hummingbird), 2606 nucleotides. It is a transcript of the gene named solute carrier family 6 member 8, with no coding region annotated. NCBI's taxonomy places the organism in Eukaryota, Metazoa, Chordata, Aves, Apodiformes, Trochilidae. The record is from RefSeq and is a predicted model, not a curated record. The transcript is spliced from 14 exons.